RNAcentral lists this unclassified non-coding RNA (210 nucleotides) under uncultured Ascomycota. RNAcentral's name for it is "sequence contains ITS1". The record is from RNAcentral. Lineage: Eukaryota; Fungi; Ascomycota.
CUGAGUCACGUGCUCAAACAACCCUUCUGUGGACCUGAAUUAGAACCGUUGCCUCGGCGGGCGGUCCCCCUACCAAAGCCACCCACGUGUGGUGGGUUAGGGGACCAGACAGUCCGGCACGCUUAAGGCGUCCGGCGCCAGCCGCUGGCCCCAACCAAUUAAACUCUAGUAACCUUUACCUUCUGAGUUUUAAUAUCUAAAAAUAAGUCA